This 81-nucleotide transfer RNA is filed under the name Rhizophagus irregularis. RNAcentral describes it as "tRNA-OTHER". It matches the Rfam family "tRNA". Rfam says of the family: Transfer RNA (tRNA) molecules are approximately 80 nucleotides in length. Lineage: Eukaryota; Fungi; Glomeromycota; Glomeromycetes; Glomerales; Glomeraceae. The record is from RNAcentral. RNAcentral also lists the same sequence under 2 other names.
GCUCAGUUAGUUCAGUAGUUAGAACACUUGAUAAUUUUUUUUUUUAUCUUAGAAACGCAGGUUCGAUUUCUAUACUGGGCC